UACGAAGGGGGCUAGCGUUGCUCGGAUUGACUGGGCGUAAAGGGCGCGUAGGCGGCUUACACAGUCAGACGUGAAAUUCCUGGGCUCAACCUGGGGGCUGCGUUUGAUACAUGUAGGCUUGAGUUCGGAAGAGGGUCGUGGAAUUCCCAGUGUAGAGGUGAAAUUCGUAGAUAUUGGGAAGAACACCGGUGGUGAAGGCGGCGACCUGGUCCGAUACUGACGCUGAGGCGCGAAAGCGUGGGGAGCAAACAGG
This 253-nucleotide ribosomal RNA is filed under the name uncultured bacterium. RNAcentral describes it as "partial 16S ribosomal RNA". It matches the Rfam family "Bacterial small subunit ribosomal RNA", at positions 524 to 776 of the family's 1533-position model. The record is from RNAcentral.